GGACUUCUGGCUUAGUGGAAAGAGCACGGCUUUGGGAGUCAGAGAUCGUGGGUUCUAAUCCCACCUCCA
This 69-nucleotide transfer RNA is filed under the name Ornithorhynchus anatinus (platypus). It matches the Rfam family "tRNA". From Rfam's summary of the family: Transfer RNA (tRNA) molecules are approximately 80 nucleotides in length. Lineage: Eukaryota; Metazoa; Chordata; Mammalia; Monotremata; Ornithorhynchidae. The record is from Rfam by way of RNAcentral.